Molecule: long non-coding RNA, 243 nt
Filed under: Citrus sinensis (sweet orange)
Lineage: Eukaryota; Viridiplantae; Streptophyta; Magnoliopsida; Sapindales; Rutaceae
Description: long non-coding RNA (CSIN_LNC003300)
Source: RNAcentral
UUAAAGCAUUACCUUCACAGAUUUCACGGAUAUGAUUAUAAUUUUUUGGAUUUCAAUGUGGGGCCUUGGUCCUUAUAAGCAAUUUCAAGGGUUCAUAUUUCUUCUUCUAUAACAUUUUCUCAUCUUUAUAAUUUGAAAAUAAUCUUAUCUUAUAUGGGGCAUCAAUAUGGGAACCACGUAAUAAAAUUGCAUAUAAUUUUAAUGGGUAUGUGAUAAAGAUUUAUUGGAUGACAGACAUUAUAG